UAAAGUGUCCAUCCUUCCAACUUCAAAUUUCCUAUAUCCUCUCUGAGGAUACAUAAAAUGUCCUUAUUUCUGUGGUGGAAUCCAAACUGAGCAUGCCCUGGAGCUGCUUAUUCUGGGAAAUGUUUCUCUAAAAAAAAUAUGUUAAAGUUUUAAAAGUUAAUUUUGGACUUUCUUCUCCCUCAUGGCUGUAGAUUUUGCAGGUGUCUGGGACUGUCUGUGAGUAAUUUGAUUUAAAGGCAGAAAAAGCUAUGAGAAGUUUCAGAGAGAGUAUUUAUUCAUUAAGAUUUGAAAUAGGAUUCUCAUCUGGUGGCACAGAAUAUUAAACAAUCAUCUGUGUACUCUCCAGGAUGGCAGUAAUUUGGCUCAGUACAAGAAGUCCUUGUCUUCCAGAAAGUUUUGGAAAUACCUGGGUAAAAUAAUUGAUGGCUGUAUUUCUUAUGGUUCCAGACUGGAACAUGGAACUGAGUUUUACUUUUAAGGACAUAAAACACCUUUAGAGAUCCUCCCUUGCAUAAGCACUGCCACAGAUUUUGCAUAAAGCUAUUUCUGUGUAUAUGGAUUCUAUAUGUGGGGUGUCAUAGUUGUUUUAGAAUGUAAAACGUAUGACACAACUUUCUCCACUGAAUUGAAAUUUGUUUUGGUUUUUUAAUGUAUUUAAAGAGCAAAUAGCGCUUUAAUUUCAACAAACUUGCAGAGAGCUGUACUGAAAUAUCUUUGUCUGAAAAAUAAAGCUGUGAUCCAUUAA
Long non-coding RNA from Neopsephotus bourkii (Bourke's parrot), 745 nucleotides. RefSeq lists it as uncharacterized. The record is from RefSeq and is a predicted model, not a curated record. The transcript has 3 exons. Lineage: Eukaryota; Metazoa; Chordata; Aves; Psittaciformes; Psittacidae.